This 253-nucleotide ribosomal RNA is filed under the name uncultured bacterium. Its description in RNAcentral is "partial 16S ribosomal RNA". It matches the Rfam family "Bacterial small subunit ribosomal RNA", at positions 524 to 776 of the family's 1533-position model. The record is from RNAcentral.
GACGGAGGAGGCUAGCGUUGUUCGGAAUUACUGGGCGUAAAGCGCGCGCGGGCGGUUUUGCAAGUCAGGGGUGAAAGCCCGAGGCUCAACCUCGGAACGGCCUUUGCGACUGCAAGACUGGAGACCGGGAGAGGAGAGUGGAAUUCCCAGUGUAGAGGUGAAAUUCGUAGAUAUUGGGAAGAACACCAGUGGCGAAGGCGGCUCUCUGGCCCGGACCUGACGCUGAGGCGCGAAAGCGUGGGGAGCAAACAGG